This is a non-coding RNA of Misgurnus anguillicaudatus (oriental weatherfish), 560 nucleotides long. Lineage: Eukaryota; Metazoa; Chordata; Actinopteri; Cypriniformes; Cobitidae. The record is from RefSeq and is a predicted model, not a curated record.
AAUCCAACCCUAUCUCACGGCGAAUUCGUAAUAAUUCAAACGAUUUAACCAAGUGGCUAAAUCGUAUGAAAUCAUACGAGCUGGCUCGUACGAAAUCGUACGAUUAGUUCAUCGCAUUUAACACAGCCCUGUGUUGCAGGGAUUUCGUGCUAAUUAAUACGAAUAGAUUAAAUCGUACUAUACCAUACGAUUUUGUUCAUCGCAUUCAAGAAGCGUGACCCGUAGCCAGAAAAAACCUCUGGGUGUGCACCUGAAAAUCUGCGUGUCACAGGCAGGCAAGAUGACCAGAAACGCUGGGGAAUUCAGGUGCUGUAAAUCCGGUGGACAGGACUCAUCUCGUUAUAGAUCAAGGUGUGCUACUGUGGGUGGCUCCGGCACACUCGUGGCUACGCCCCUGCCGUGACCCAAAUCUCGUUCGCACAUCAUCGCGAUAUUUAUCAUCUGUUUACAAACGUCGCCCCAUCUCGCUUCGUAAGAUGGAAUUACUGGACUUCUCUACAAUGCUCUUUAUUACCACACAGAGAGGCCAGCAUCGCUCCACAAAAGUUUUCAUUAAAAAC